RNAcentral lists this ribosomal RNA (468 nucleotides) under uncultured bacterium. RNAcentral's name for it is "partial 16S ribosomal RNA". It matches the Rfam family "Bacterial small subunit ribosomal RNA", at positions 28 to 507 of the family's 1533-position model. The record is from RNAcentral.
GACGAACGCUGGCGGCGUGCUUAACACAUGCAAGUCGAACGGAAAGGCCCUGCUUUUGUGGGGUGCUCGAGUGGCGAACGGGUGAGUAACACGUGAGUAACCUGCCCUUGACUUUGGGAUAACUUCAGGAAACUGGGGCUAAUACCGGAUAGGAGCUCCUGCUGCAUGGUGGGGGUUGGAAAGUUUCGGCGGUUGGGGAUGGACUCGCGGCUUAUCAGCUUGUUGGUGGGGUAGUGGCUUACCAAGGCUUUGACGGGUAGCCGGCCUGAGAGGGUGACCGGCCACAUUGGGACUGAGAUACGGCCCAGACUCCUACGGGAGGCAGCAGUGGGGAAUAUUGCACAAUGGGCGGAAGCCUGAUGCAGCAACGCCGCGUGCGGGAUGACGGUCUUCGGGUUGUAAACCGCUUUCGCCUGUGACGAAGCGUGGGUGACGGUAAUGGGUAAAGAAGCACCGGCUAACUACGUG